Molecule: ribosomal RNA, 257 nt
Filed under: uncultured bacterium
Lineage: Bacteria
Description: partial 16S ribosomal RNA
Rfam family: Bacterial small subunit ribosomal RNA
Source: RNAcentral
UACGGGGGGAGCAAGCGUUGUUCGGAUUUACUGGGCGUAAAGGGCGCGUAGGCGGUCGUGACAAGUCACUUGUGAAAAUCUCCCGGGGCUUAACUCGGAACGGUCAAGUGAUACUGUCGGACUAGAGUACAGAAGGGGCAACUGGAAUUCUCGGUGUAGCGGUGAAAUGCGUAGAUAUCGGGAGGAACACCAGAGGCGAAGGCGGCGACCUGGACAGUUACUGACACUCAACUACGAAAGCGUGGGGAGCAAACAGG